Molecule: ribosomal RNA, 492 nt
Filed under: uncultured bacterium
Lineage: Bacteria
Description: partial 16S ribosomal RNA
Rfam family: Bacterial small subunit ribosomal RNA
Source: RNAcentral
GGGGGGGGGGGGGGGGGGGGGGGGGGGGGGGGGGGGGGGGGGCGGCACGGUAAGAGCGUGCGCGUACGGGGGGCGCGGGGCGGACGGGUGAGGGAUGCAGCGGGAUCUCCUUUUUGGUGGGGGGUAGCGUAGGGAAACUUACGCUAAUACCGCAUACGACCGACGGGUGGAAGCAGGUGAUGUUCGUGGCUUGCGCGAUUGAAGUCAUCGAUGUCGGAUUAGCGAGUUGGCGUGGCAAAGGCCCACAAAGGCGACGAUCCGUAGCUGGUCUGAGAGGAUGAUCAGCCACACUGGAACUGAGACACGGUCCAGAAUCCUACGGGAGGCAGCAGUGGGGAAUAUUGGACAAAGGGCGCAAGCCUGAUCCAGCCAUACCGCGUGGGUGAAGAAGGCCUUCGGGUUGUAAAGCCCUUUUGUUGGGAAAGAAAAGCAGCAGGUUAAUACCCCGCUGUUCUGACGGUACCCAAAGAAUAAGCACCGGCUAACUUCGUG